GGACCACUAGCUCAGAAGGUCAGAGUAAUCGGCUCAUAACCGAUCGGUCCGGGGUUCGAGUCCCUGGUGGUCCA
Molecule: transfer RNA, 74 nt
Filed under: Caudoviricetes sp.
Lineage: Duplodnaviria; Heunggongvirae; Uroviricota; Caudoviricetes
Description: tRNA-Met
Rfam family: tRNA
About the family: Transfer RNA (tRNA) molecules are approximately 80 nucleotides in length.
Source: RNAcentral